UUCGGACGGGGCCCGCAACAAGCGGCGAGCAUGCGGAUUAAUUCGAUGCAACGCGAAGAACCUUACCAAGGCUUGACAUACACCGGUAACGCCCAGAGAUGGGUGCCCCUUUGUGGUCGGUGUACAGGUGGUGCAUGGUUGUCGUCAGCUCGUGUCGUGAGAUGUUGGGUUAAGUCCCGCAACGAGCGCAACCCUCGUCCUAUGUUGCCAGCGGGUCAUGCCGGGGACUCAUGGGAGACUGCCGGGGUCAACUCGGAGGAAGGUGGGGAUGACGUCAAAUCAUCAUGCCCCUUAUGUCUUGGGCUUCACGCAUGCUACAAUGGCCGGUACAAAGGGCUGCGAUACCGCGAGGUGGAGCGAAUCCCAGAAAGCCGGUCUCAGUUCGGAUUGGGGUCUGCAACUCGACCCCAUGAAGUCGGAGUCGCUAGUAAUCGCAGAUCAGCAACGCUGCGGUGAAUACGUUCCCGGGCCUU
RNAcentral lists this ribosomal RNA (473 nucleotides) under uncultured Curtobacterium sp. RNAcentral describes it as "bacterial SSU rRNA". It matches the Rfam family "Bacterial small subunit ribosomal RNA", at positions 916 to 1381 of the family's 1533-position model. Lineage: Bacteria; Bacillati; Actinomycetota; Actinomycetes; Micrococcales; Microbacteriaceae. The record is from RNAcentral.